GAGUUCGGACCAGCGGUGGAGCAUGUGGUUUAAUUCGAUAAUACGCGAGAAACCUUACCAGUUCUUGAAAUUUUUCAUUUUUUACAUACUUUUAAAAAAGUAAGAAAAACAGGUGUUGCAUGGCUGUCGUCAGCUCGUGUCGUGAGAUGUUUUGGUUAAUUCCUAUAACGAGCGCAACCCCUACCGUUAGUUGCCAGCGUGUAAUGACGGGGACUCUAACGGAACUGCCGGUGCAAACCGUGAGGAAGGUGGGGACGACGUCAAAUCAUCACGGCCCUUACGUCCUGGGCCACACACGUGCUACAAUGGUAGGUACAGAGGGAAGCCACCCCGCGAGGGGAGCGGA
This 346-nucleotide ribosomal RNA is filed under the name uncultured bacterium. RNAcentral's name for it is "bacterial SSU rRNA". It matches the Rfam family "Bacterial small subunit ribosomal RNA", at positions 917 to 1271 of the family's 1533-position model. The record is from RNAcentral.